RNAcentral lists this ribosomal RNA (254 nucleotides) under uncultured bacterium. RNAcentral's name for it is "partial 16S ribosomal RNA". It matches the Rfam family "Bacterial small subunit ribosomal RNA", at positions 524 to 776 of the family's 1533-position model. The record is from RNAcentral.
CACGUAGGGUGCGAGCGUUGUCCGGAAUUAUUGGGCGUAAAGAGCUCGUAGGCGGUGUGUCGCGUCGGCCGUGAAAACCUGCAGCUUAACUGUGGGCUUGCGGUCGAUACGGGCAUCACUGGAGUUCGGCAGGGGAGACUGGAAUUCCUGGUGUAGCGGUGGAAUGCGCAGAUAUCAGGAGGAACACCGGUGGCGAAGGCGGGUCUCUGGGCCGACAUUGACGCUGAGGAGCGAAAGCGUGGGGAGCGAACAGG